Molecule: non-coding RNA, 1208 nt
Organism: Paramuricea clavata
Lineage: Eukaryota; Metazoa; Cnidaria; Anthozoa; Malacalcyonacea; Plexauridae
Source: the annotation of a GenBank genome assembly
CUCGUGAUUGAGCAGACAAUUCGGCUCGUGGGCGAUAUACCAAGAUAGGUAAUCUAAUCGACCUAAUUCUCCCCUUGCUCUCUUUCCUUCUAUUUCUUUACACUGUUUACAUUCUCUCGUCAAGUACACCACGUCCAAAACUUUCCCCGUGACUUCCGAGACAGCAGCAACCAGACCAUCUCGUGCGGACCAACCUCGCGAACUCCAUGAACAGUCAAAACUCGCACCGACAUCAACAACUUUUUCUACCAAUUCCUGGUCUGUACAAUCUGCAACUUCACCUACUGUUCUUUUAAGUUGUUUCAGUUGCAAGGCUGCCUGGUUGAAAUCAAUCUCAGUUAGGUCUUUUACUUUCUCUUCAAUGAGUGUUGUAUGUUUAUCCCACGUGUAGACCGGUGACAAACCGAGAAAACUAAAACAUUUUUGCGCUGCAGAUCGUCCUUUCCCGAUAGCCCGAAAACCAACAACUGAAGCACGGUUAACAUCAUAUAUUUUAUCGGACUUGGGCGAAAUUGGAAAAGACUGGUUCGACUCUCGCGACACACAACAUUCAUUCGUACAACGAUAGUUCCAUUUGGCCCCAAGACCUUGUUUCGAUCCUACCUUUUCCACAAUAUGUAGGGAACUGUAGCAAAGUUUGCAAACAGCAGAAGUUUCCAGCAUUUGCCCCAAACUGUCAACGUUAACAAUAUAGUUCCCUGUGGGUUUCAAAAAGACAGAACAUUCGUCGUGGUCUUCGUCGUCGUCACUGCUAUUAAAAGGUGAUUCAGAACUAUAGAUGAUUCUGUGGCGCUGCUAUUUUCAAGAAACGAUUUCAUGCUUUCUUCUAGCUUCCUCUUACUUGCGCUCGGUGUUACUGUGUCGUUUGUCGCUGAAGAACAAGCUUUGGAAUCGUCCAAUUGUUCUGGCCACUGUUGUUCUUGAGAAAACCAUGAACCUUUGUCACUAUCCGCCAGCACUUGUUUCUCGUUCGAGUCAAAUUUCUUUCGCUGAGAAGAACUUUUCCUUUUUCGCGAUCGAGAAGAGCAAAAUGGGCUCUUAUUUUUUCUCUGAUCCUUUACUUUCAAAGGCAUGAUGACCGCGUACUUAUACCACUUAUGACUCAAGAAUAAUCACUUUAUAUAGCUCGCUCCAGAGAGAAAAAUUUGCUGUGUUACUGUUGUACAAACUACAAAGUUAUAUAAUCCUGAUUUAACCUUACACCAAAG